RNAcentral lists this ribosomal RNA (926 nucleotides) under uncultured archaeon. Its description in RNAcentral is "bacterial SSU rRNA". It matches the Rfam family "Archaeal small subunit ribosomal RNA", at positions 23 to 922 of the family's 1478-position model. The record is from RNAcentral.
AUCACCGCUAUUGGAAUCCGCUUAAGACAUGCGAGUUGAGAGGGCUUAGACCCUCGGCAUACUGCUCAGUAACACGCGGACAAUCUGCCCUAAGGUGAGGAAUAAUCUCGGGAAACUGAGCAUAAUACCUCAUAGAUCAUGAAUGCUGGAAUGCUUCAUGGUCAAAAGCUCCGGCGCCUUAGGAUGAGUCUGCGGCCUAUCAGGUCGUAGUGGGUGUAACGGACCCACUAGCCAACGACGGGUACGGGCGUUGGGAGACGUCGCCCGGAGAUGGAUUCUGAGACACGAAUCCAGGCCCUACGGGGCGCAGCAGUCGCGAAAACUUGUCAAUGCGGGAAACCGCGAACAGGGGAGUCCAAGUGCUUGCACUUUGUGUAAGCUGUUCGGUUGUCUAAAAAACAGCCGAAGGAAGGGCUGGGUAAGACAGGUGCCAGCCGCCGCGGUAAUACCUGCAGCCCGAGUGGUGAUCGAUUUUAUUGAGCCUAAAGCGUCCGUAGCCGGUCUAGUAAAUCCUUGGGUAAAUUGGGCAGCUUAACUGUCCGAAUUCCGAGGGGACUGCUAGACUUGGGACCGGGAGAGGUCAGAGGUACUCCAGGGGUAGGGGCUAAAUCCGAUAUGGUUUUGUGCCAUUCGGUUAGCAUUCCUGUAAUCCUUGGGGGACCACCAGUGGCGAAGGCGUCUGACUAGAACGGAUCCGACGGUAAGGGACGAAACCCUGGGGCGCGAACCGGAUUAGAUACCCGGGUAGUCCAGGGCGUAAACGCUGCAGGCUUGGUGUUGGGGACCCUACGAGGGUGCCCAGUGCCGGAGUGAAGAUGUUAAGCCUGCCGCUUGGGGAGUACGUCCGCAAGGAUGAAACUUAAAGGAAUUGGCGGGAGAGCACAGCAACGGGAGGAGCGUGCGGUUCAAUUGGAUUCAACGCCGGA